GACGAACGCUGACGGCGUGCUUAACACAUGCAAGUCGAACGGAAAGGCCCUGCUUUUGUGGGGUGCUCGAGUGGCGAACGGGUGAGUAACACGUGAGUAACCUGCCCUUGACUUUGGGAUAACUUCAGGAAACUGGGGCUAAUACCGGAUAGGAGCUCCUGCUGCAUGGUGGGGGUUGGAAAGUUUCGGCGGUUGGGGAUGGACUCGCGGCUUAUCAGCUUGUCGGUGGGGUAGUGGCUUACCAAGGCUUUGACGGGUAGCCGGCCUGAGAGGGUGACCGGCCACAUUGGGACUGAGAUACGGCCCAGACUCCUACGGGAGGCAGCAGUGGGGAAUAUUGCACAAUGGGCGGAAGCCUGAUGCAGCAACGCCGCGUGCGGGAUGACGGCCUUCGGGUUGUAAACCGCUUUCGCCUGUGACGAAGCGUGAGUGACGGUAAUGGGUAAAGAAGCACCGGCUAACUACGCG
Molecule: ribosomal RNA, 468 nt
Filed under: uncultured bacterium
Lineage: Bacteria
Description: partial 16S ribosomal RNA
Rfam family: Bacterial small subunit ribosomal RNA
Source: RNAcentral